GGCGGUGUGCUGCUCAGCCCCUUUCUGCUCUAUGCGGUGCUGGCGCUGCUGGUGACCGGCGUGUUGCGUGUGGUCCUGGCGAAGCUCGGGCUGGCGCGCUGGAUCUGGCACGAAGCGUUGUUCGACUGUGCCCUG
Molecule: small RNA, 135 nt
Filed under: Metapseudomonas resinovorans NBRC 106553
Lineage: Bacteria; Pseudomonadati; Pseudomonadota; Gammaproteobacteria; Pseudomonadales; Pseudomonadaceae
Description: Pseudomonas resinovorans NBRC 106553 Pseudomonas sRNA P18
Rfam family: Pseudomonas sRNA P18
Source: Rfam by way of RNAcentral